RNAcentral lists this transfer RNA (67 nucleotides) under Stolotermes ruficeps. RNAcentral describes it as "tRNA-Asp". The record is from RNAcentral. Lineage: Eukaryota; Metazoa; Arthropoda; Insecta; Blattodea; Termopsidae.
AAAGAAUUAGUUAAUCAAAAUAACAUUAGUUUGUCAAACUAAAGUAAUCACUUAAUGAUAUCCUUUA